AGCGAACGCUGGCGGCAGGCCUAACACAUGCAAGUCGAACGAACUCUUCGGAGUUAGUGGCGGACGGGUGAGUAACACGUGGGAACGUGCCUUUUGGUUCGGAAUAACUCAGGGAAACUUGUGCUAAUACCGAAUGUGCCCUUAGGGGGAAAGAUUUAUCGCCAUUAGAGCGGCCCGCGUCUGAUUAGCUAGUUGGUGAGGUAACGGCUCACCAAGGCGACGAUCAGUAGCUGGUCUGAGAGGAUGACCAGCCACACUGGGACUGAGACACGGCCCAGACUCCUACGGGAGGCAGCAGUGGGGAAUCUUGCGCAAUGGGCGAAAGCCUGACGCAGCCAUGCCGCGUGAAUGAUGAAGGUCUUAGGAUUGUAAAAUUCUUUCACCGGGGACGAUAAUGACGGUACCCGGAGAAGAAGCCCCGGCUAACUUCGUG
Molecule: ribosomal RNA, 433 nt
Filed under: uncultured bacterium
Lineage: Bacteria
Description: partial 16S ribosomal RNA
Rfam family: Bacterial small subunit ribosomal RNA
Source: RNAcentral